This is a non-coding RNA of Monodelphis domestica (gray short-tailed opossum), 11477 nucleotides long. NCBI's taxonomy places the organism in Eukaryota, Metazoa, Chordata, Mammalia, Didelphimorphia, Didelphidae. The record is from RefSeq and is a predicted model, not a curated record.
UCAUUAAUUUUUGAGAUUUUUCAUAUCAUAUGGCUGAAGAACACUAAACUUUUAGUCUACUAACUUUGAUAACAAAGUGUCAAACCCUAGAACUGAAGUUGUAGUCUGGUGGGAAAUUAAUGGAGUCUUAGCCACAGUGGGGGAGCAACCCCAGGCAAUGUUCUGGAAUCUUGGGAGAGCAAGAGUUUCUGUCAGAGAGAGACAGUUAGCUCUCUCAAUUCUGAAACAGCCUAAGAAGAGGUCUGGUCAAGACUUGCUCCUGAGGAAAGACGUACAUCUUCUACUGGCUCCUUCCUGUUCAUCACUGAAAAGUCGGAAUACGUUCAGUACUGGAAGUGGAGGUAUAAUACAAUGCAUUGUUAUCCAUUUUGGAAGCUAUAAUUAUGUUAGUGAUGGCUAGUGCUUCUCUUGGCUUUGGAACUAUGACCAGAAUCCCUGCUCCUUUGUGAUUGACUACCAGCUCUUCUCUCAAACCUGCAACUAUAGUCUUGAACCCCAUAUGUGGCCAUUAGUAAGCUUCUCUCUUAGGGGAAGGAUUACAGCUGGUCUUCCUGGUCAAUGGAGUAAAGUUUCCUAGAAUUCUCCCUCUCAGCCAUGAACAAUGAAGCUUUUUCUCUCAACUGGGACAUGCAAGAAGUUAAUGGAAGACAAGGUAAAACCAGGUUUGCACUUAAAACUCUAUCUUCUCUUUAAUUUUUUUCUAGACUUAUUUUUUUUAAUUAACUGCCUUCUGUGCCAUUUCCUCUUGCUUCCUCAGUUUAAAAGAAACUCAUUUGAGUUCUUGUAUCACAUAAUAUCAUUUAGCUCAAUUAGUAUCUCCAGGACCCAACUUCCUCAGGUAAAAGAGGAGCUAAGGGAUAUUUUAACAAGUAAAAUAUUUUAAUUGAGUUCUGCAAUGAUUCUAUUCUGUGCAAAUAACAAUGUCUGAAUAAAGAAGACUGACAGAUAUACUAAUCUUUCUCACUGUUCUUAGCAAGAUAUGAAAGACUGCUCUCUCUGAAGUGUCUCUUUUUGUUUCCUCUGAGCUUUAUUUCUUUCCUUCCUCUUCUCUUCUUAUCUUGUAGUGGUAGAUAAAAAACAGGAUUUGGACUCAUUAAUAUAUGGGUUAAAAUGCAUUCCAGAUAUUAGUCACCUUGGGCAAGUCAUUUGUGACUUCCUUUUCUGUUUUUAAGUUUCUUCAUCUUUAAAAUUAAAAGGUAAAACUAAACACCCUCUAAGUUCCCUAUCAGAUCUAAAACUUAUUUUCUUAAUGUCUAACAUUGUAAAUUUGCAUGUAAAUAUGCAAACAAAAAUACAUAUAUGUUACUAUAUACUAUGUAUGUGUCUAUGUAUCUGUAAAUACACAAACAUGUAUGUCAAUGAAUAUCCCUUUGUUCAUAAAAAGGACAUUGCUAUGUUUUUAGUUUAUGAAAACAAUGGCAAUUGCUUAUACUCAUAAGUAAUCAUGGGAAGGAAGAGCAGUGAUUAAAAAAAAUCUCUAAACUACCAGAAUAGUAAUAUAGGAAUCACAGAAUUUAAGAAAAGAAAUGGAUUUUUAGAGAUAAUUUUUUUAUGAAACUGAUGCUAGAAAUUAGAUUAAUAAAUAAUAGGAGGAGAAAAAUUAUAUUUAACAUAUCAGUUUAUGUUUUGUUUUUACUUUUUGAGAUUUUUAUAUCCAGUACCAAGUACUGGAAAUUCUUAGGAGAGACCUAGGUUUGAAUACUGUCGUGAGAUAUGAACUUUGUGACUCUGUAAAAAUAGUUUAAUUUGGGGGGACUUCAGUUUUCUCACCUGUAAAAGGAAAGGAUUAGAUUGAAUGACCUUUAACAUCCCUGCCAGUUCUAAAUCUAUGAUUCUAUAACAUUAGGAAUUAUAUUUUCCACUGAUUCUCAUUUUUUUUAUCACCUACUCCUCCAGCAGUCUUGUGAAACCUACAGAUCCUUUCUCAGAAAAAUAGUUUUAAGCCAAUGAAAUAAAAUAGAUCAAAGAAACCAACUAUAUUAGAAUAUAACUAUCAACUUAAUAAAACAAACAAAAAAUAUUCAUGGACCUAAAGUUAAGAAUGGCUGUUCCACACUACCCCACUCAUUUAAUAGUCGAAGAAAGAGAAGGCCAAGAAGAUUAAAUAACUUUCCCAAUGAUUGAGGAGUGGCAGAAUCAAAGUUAAAAUUUGUUUGAAAAAAGGGGUAGGAAGGUAAUUCUUUUUUAAAUGAGAGAUUCCUCAGAUCCUGACACAGAAAAGGACUUAGGGUGAGGAACAAUUGUACUCAAGUGAUUAGCCUGAAUGAAGGUCAGAUGAGAAAGCUUGCCAUUUCAUCAUAAUCCUUGAAUGCAGAGAUAUAAAUUUUAAUAUUUUCUUAGUAAAAUGACUGUAUUAUUUGAUAGUCCUAUUCCCAAUAUGAAUGCUACAGGGUACCUCUCAAAAUGUUCUUUUUUUUCCCUAACUACUUAGAAGUCAUGAAGAAAGGGAUUGAGGUACAAUUCACAAUCAGGUCAGUAUUACUUAAACUUGUCUUCUGCCAUCUUCUUUCCCUUUCCAGAGAUUUUCAAAAAACUAAUAGUUGAAUAACCAAAAAGGAACUUGACUUUGACAGAGAUUUUUUUUCCUUCCUUCAUACCAAUUUUAUUUAAUAUAUAUAAGAAUAGAACAAUCCCAUUUAAACUCACAAAUGAAAUCUCUCCAUUUUUUAUCACACAAAAGGUAAUCUUUCCUUUUAAGUGAAUAGUGCUAUAAAUUCAGAAUAAAUGUUUUAAUUCAUUUUUUUUUAUUUUUCAUGUGAACUAUUUUCUUUUUCUUUGUUUCAUUUUUUAAUUGUCAUGCAAAACAUACUUCCAUAUUUGUCAUUAUUCUAAUAGCAAAGUCAUACAUAACCAACCAAAACCUCAAAAUAAAAAUUCUUUCUCUGGAGGUGGAUAGCAUUCCCUGUAAUAAAUCUUUCAGACUCUCCCAGAUCAUUGCCUUGCCUAGAGUAGACAAGUUUUCACAGAUAAUCAAUCAUACAAAAUUUCAAUUAUUGAUACAAUUGGAUACAUCUUGCUAAUCAUUUCUCCUCAAUUUCUAAUUCUCUAUCAAUGCGAAAUGAAUAGCUAUAAAUAUUUUUUUUAAAAUAAGUAGGCCCCUUUCCCUUUUUUAUUAUCUCUUUGGGAUUCAGACUCAGUUGUGGUAUUACUGGAUCCAAGGGUAUGGACAGUUUUAUCAUCCCUUUGAUUAUAGUUCCAAAUUACCCUCCUGAAUGGUUGGAUUAGUUCACAACUCCACCAAUAAUGCAGGGGUCCCAAUUUUGCCACAUUCCCUUCAACAUUUACCACUUUCCUUUACAGCUAUAAUGGCCAACCUGAUAGGUAGGAAGUGGUACUUCAGUGUUGUUUUAAUUUGCAUUUCUCUAAACUAGAGUGAUUUAAAACAUUUUUUCAUAUGAUUAUUGAUGGCUUUGAUUUCUUCAUCUGAAAAUUGCUUGUUCGUAUCCUUUGACCAUUUGUCAAUUGGGGAAUGGUCUGUAUCUUGUAAAUUUGACUUAGUUCUUUAUAAAUUUGAGAAAUUAGAUCUUUUAAAAAGACAUCUCUUAUAAUUCCUCUCCCCACCCCCAGUUUGUAGUUUCCCUUCUAAUCUUGGUUAGAUUAGUUUUGUUUAUACAGAAGCUUUUUAUUUUAAUAUGAUCAAAAUUAUUCAGUUUAUAUAUUAUAAUACUCUUUCUUGUUUGGUCAUUAAUUCUUGCUUUUCUCAAUGAUCUACCAGGAAAACUGUUCUAUGUUGCCCUAAUUUAGUUCUGGUAUCACUCUUUAUAUCUAGCUUCUGCCAUACCAUUUUCUAAUUUUCCCACCAGUUUUUGUUAAAGAGUGAGAUCAUAUUCCAAAAGCUGGGAUCUUUGGAUUUUUCAAACACUACAUAGCAAAGAUAAUUAACUGUUGUAUAUGGUGCAUCUAAUCUACUCCAUUGAUCUACCAGUCUAUUCCUUAGUCAUUUCAAGAUUAUUUUCAUGAUUACUGUUUUAUAGUACAGUUUGGAAUCUGCUACUACUAGGCUUCCUUCAUCCACAUUUUUUUUCAUUAGUUCUCUUGAUAUGCAUGACCUUUUGUUCUUCAAGAUGAAUUUUUUAUUAUUUUUCCUAGUUCCAUAAAAUAGGUAUUUGGCAUGUUAAUUGGAAUGGCACUGAAUAAAUGAUUUAAUUUAGGUAGAAUUGCAUUUUUAUUAUAUUACUUUGUCCUAUCCAAGAACAAUGAAUAUUUUCCCAAUUGUUUACCUCUGACACUAUUUGUGUGAAAAGUAUUUUGUAAUUGUAUUCAUAAAACUCCUGUGUUUGCUAUGGAAAAUGGAUUCCCACAUACUUUAUAUUGUUUAUACUAAUUUUAAAUGGAAUUUCUCUUUCUAACACUUGCUGAUGGACUUUGUUGGUAAAUACAUAGAAGUGCAGAUGAUUUGUGUGGGUUUAUUUUGUAUCCUGCAAUUUAAUAGUUAUUAAUGAUUUCAAAUAGUGUUUUAGUUCAUUCUCUGGGAUUCUCUAAGUAUGCCAUCAUAUCAUCAGCAAAGAGUGAUAGUUUAGUUUUCUUAUUGCCUGCUAUAAUUCCUUCAAUUUAUUUUUCUUUCCUUAUUUCUAAAACUAGCAUUUCUAAUACAAUAUUAAAUAAUAGUGGUGAUCUCAUUGGGAAGGCUUCUAACAUCCCCAUUGCAGAUGAUACUUGCUGAAGGCUUCUGGCAUAUACUAUUUAUCAUUUUUAAAGAAAGGUCUUUUUAUACCUCUGCUUUCUAUUAUUUUUUUAGCACAAAUGGGUAUUGUAUUUUGUCAAACACUUUCUCUGCAUCUAUUAAGAUAAUCAUAUGAUUUCUGUUAGUUUGAUUAUUGACAUAGUCAAUUAUUCUGAUAGUUUUCCUAAUAUUAAACUGUCACUACAUUCCUGGCAUAUAUCCCACCUAGUCAUAGUAAAUAAUUCUUGUAAAAUAUUCUACAAUCUCUUUCCUAGUAUUUAACAUAAUAUUUUAAAAUCUAUAUUCAUUAAUGAAAUUGACCUAUAAUUUUCUUUCUCUUUUUUCUUCUUCCUCACAUAGGUAACAGAACUAUAUUAGUUUUAGGAAAAGAAUUUGGUACAAGCCCAGAAGUGGUGUGGCUGGGCAGGCAUUCAUUUAAAGCCCUUUGUUCAUAGUUCCAAAGUGCCCUCCAGAAUGGUUGCACCAAUUCACAACUCCACUAGCAGUGUAUUUGUGUUCUAAUUGCCACUUAUUACCUCUACUAUUGAAACUAAUUCCUCAUUGGUCUUGUUAUUAAUUCUUCCUAUUUCAUCUUCAUCCUCUAUCACUGUCCAAAUUUCUUGAGUGACUUCUUAAAUGACUUCCUAACCAAGUAAUUUGUAUGCUUAGAAACAUUCAGGGGCUCCCUAUUGUCUCUAGUGCAAAAUGCAAUUUCUUUAGUUUGUCUUUAACAGUUCUCCACAAUGAGGUUCCACCCUAGAUUUCUAUUGGCUUAUUUCAUAGUAUUCCUCUUCACACACUAUACGUUCUAGACAAAUUGCAAAAAUAGUCAUUCUCUGACAUUUCCACUUUGUGGAAAUUAGGUUUGAAGUUCUAGGUGCCUAGAAAUACCAAAGCACCUAGAAAUAUCAUUAGUGUGUUCUAAUUACAGUUUCCAAUGGGUGAUUUAUAAACUGGAGAGUAUUAAAAAAAAAAAACUUUGACAGGUUAUUUAACUCCCUAGGUUAAAGUUUCAUCAUAUUUAAAAUGAAAUUUAAACUGGAUGGCCUCUGAGUUCUAUUCAGCUAUAAAUCUAUGACUUUCUGGUACUAUGAUCCUAAAAUUCAUCAUUCUAUUUCCUAUAUCUCUCUCCUAUUCUAUGUGGUCCAGAAUAAUAAUUCACUUCCCCAUAAAAUCUCAAAACCUCAGCUUCUAUUCAAAGCUCAGCUCAUUUGCCAAAUGUCACACAUUUUAAGUUGUGGCUAUUCUUUCUGUCUCAAAAUUAUAUUCUAUUUGCCUAGAUAGAUUUAUAUUUUAUUUCAUCCAGGACAAUAUAGCAGGAAGUGCAUUGUUUUGUCUCCUAGAAUCCAGAUCAGUGCUUUGAACACACAAUCACAAUAUGUGUUUACUGAGUUAAUUUGAAUUGAGGCUUACCUGCUUUAAAGGUUAGACCUAAAUUCAUUUGGCAAUUUUUUCUAACUCAAAAUGUUUUAUUCCUGUUCCUUCUUACAAAAUAAGAUCAAAAGAAUGGUAUUGAGUAGCCUGAGGUAGAACUGAAAUACUAUCUUUAUAUAGCCCCUUGUAUUUUUUUUCUUUUUUUUUUUUUUGAAAUAACUGAAGCUUAGAAUUCUAACACGAUUGCUCAGCAUGAUAAAGGGGGAGAUUCCAGAUAUUUGACACCCUUUAGGAUAUUGAAAUGAGAUAUACUUUUAUUUUCUUUAGUGAUUACAAUUCAAAUUUGUUUUAUAUAAACUGAAAAUUCUAGUGAUAAAGGAUAAGUCAAAGCUUACAAUAACAUCCUCCCAGCUAGUAUCUUCAUAUUCACCUUCUAUUUUUCAUUCUAUUACUAAAAUUGCUUUCUCUCUUUGUCUUGUUUUGGAAAAACACAUACAUGCAACCAUGACUGACCCCCGCCCCAACUCCAACACAAAUAAACACAUACUGAAAUGAGGCAUAAUACCCACAGGGCAAUUUCAGGAGAUUUUUUAAAAAUAUCAUUAUCACAGAUCAUUGAACAGAAUAUUUUUCCUCUGAUGACAGCAAUUCUAUUCAAGUCGAUGAGCCUGUAUCAAACUGUGAACAUCAUUAUUAUAAAGUUCUUCCUUUCCUUCAUUGCCCUGCUGACAAAAUACCUAUGUACAUAGGAAAGAUGUGAUUUGAAAAGAAAAAAAAAGCAAUGGGUAAUCUUUCUUACCACUUGUAAUUAUAACUCUAGGAUAGUUGCCAUAAUUCUUUUUCUUCAUUUUUAUAAGAAGUUUCUCCAGAAACAGCAGUGUUAUAUGACAUAAUCAACAAAGGUAAGUCAUGAUAAUAGAUUGAAAUACUAAGCUUUCAGUUCUUGGUGUAUAAAAAUAUCAGCACAGAGAAAUAUCAUGACUGUAGUCUAAUUGAUGUUUCCAAAGAGUGAUUUAUAAACUAGCAAGCUUGUAUAUUUAAAAUUUCAAGAUUUUUCAGUUCAGUAAACCUUUAUUAUAUGACUAAAUCAUGGUGUCUUAGAAUUUGAAGUGGCAUAAACCUCAGAAAUCAUCUACCACAACCAUUCAUUUUCCCCAAAACUGAGGCCCACAGAAGUAAAAUAUCUUCCUCAGUGUUGCAUAGGCAAUAAAUAAUAGAACUGAGAUUUGAACUCAGGUCCCUUAUCUUUAAGUUCAGACCCAUUACAAUACACACUCAUUCAAUAUAGAUCAUGAAAAGAGGUGUUAGAAAAAUACAGAAAAAACAACAGUAUGAUUCAGAAGAGGUUAGAAUACACUAUGGAAAUGUAACCAAGGGUCAAGUAAACAUGCUAUAAGGUAGAAAGGGAUAUGAUGAUAUAUAUAUAUAUAUAUAUAUAUAUAUAUAUAUAUAUAUAUAAUAUGACUGUAUUAAGUCAAGACAACAUAGAAGGCAAUUUGAUGGUGAAAAGAUGACAUUCAUCUGAGGGAUAUAAAAUAUUUUAAUUGAACUAUGGUGUAGGAGAACAUUUUUAGUGGAUAGAAAUAUAGAGAGAAUGUGUUUAAAGAAAGGGAAAAAGCUUACUUAAGCACAAAGUGGGAGAGAAGGAGCAUGACGCGAGUCUGGAAAAUGAAGAGAAAAAAUUAUAUUUUGUUCUAGAGACAAUGAGAAAAUAUUUUAGAUUUUAGAAUAGGGAAGUGACUACUUGAUGAAUUGGGAAGAUUUUGUUUCUUCAACAAUUUUUGGUUAUAAAUGGAGCAAAUGCUAAAAUAAAUUGAGUAUUUUCAAAAUAACAAUAGACUGAAUUUGUAUAGUGCUUUAAGGUCUGUAGACUGCUUCACUGAUAUAAUUUCAUAAUCACAUUAGCUGCUAUUAUUAUCCCAAUUUUCUACUUGAAGAAACUGAAUCUGAGAGAUAUUAUGUAAUAUACCAUGGGUCACAUAACUAAGAAUUGUCUCAGACAGGUUUGGAAUCCGGGUCUCCAUAGCUCUAAGUUCAACACUCAAUCAAUUAUAUCACCUAGAUGUCCAAAAUUCAAAGGAGUAUAGGAAAAUAAGCCUGCAAAGUAAAAGGGAUUAUAUCUAUCAAUUAUAGCUCAUUGCUUUUUUUAAGCACAUGAAUCCAAUAUGUGACUAUCAAAGCUGUCCUGUUGAUAUGUGUUUUCCUCUAUUGCAAUGUAUUAUUCUGCUAGAUCGUUAAGGAUGGAUUCUAAUGCAAGAGAAAACUGUUUAAGAACAUAUUAAAAGACCCAAGGUAAAUAGGAACCUAAAACUGGAUGGUUGUAAUGGAAAUAUUGAAAUAUAAUAAAUUUUUUUAUACUGUGAAGGGUUAUUGCUAUAUACACACACACAUAAAGAGACUGGAGACAUUGCCAUUGUCAAGUUUCUGCCUUGUGAAUGUAUUACCUGAGGAAAAAUUCUAUCAUUUUGUGUGCCGGCUGAUGUGUUUCUGUUUUUUUAUCUUAAUAAAUUUGGCAUUGCUUUUAAAAAUUUUUAUAUAGAUUUGUUAUAGGUAUAGAAUUGCUGUCCUUAGCAACUGAAUAUGGAGCACGAGAAAUACAGAAAUGUCAGAAAUGGCCUAUGUCUGAACACCUGAGUGAUUGGGAGGAUUGUUGUGCCAUUAGUAGAAACUGAGAAGUUAGGAGACAGAACAGAGAAUUUUUUAGGGGGAAAUUUGGGCCAAUAUUUAAUAUGAAGGACUGUAGGGACUUCCAAAUGGUAGGCAAGUACCUGGAAUUGGAAGAAUGGAUCUCAAAAAUUAAAUAAGGACUGAAUAUAUAGAUUUAAGAAUGUUUCAUUAGAGGCAGUAACUGAAGUCAUAUGACUAGAUAAGAAUACCAGAAGAGAAAAUAUAGAAGAGAAUAGAAAAAGCCUAAAUAUAGUCUUGGAGCUCAACCACACUUAGAGGAAAGAAAGGUAGAGGAAAAGAAGUGGCAAAGGAAUUCAUGAAGAAACAAUUCAAUUUGGACAAGAUCUGCAACAGUGAUCAGUAAUUAUUUUAAAGGAAUGAAUUUACAGAUUUUGAUAAUUAUGAAUAUGAAAUUAAUACUAGGCUUCUUGUAAUAUUUUAACCAAUUCCCUGAAAGUAAAUAUAAAAUACAUAUGGCAUCAUAAAAGUACACAUAUGUUAUAUGAUCUGUGGUCCAGAACCAAAGUAUGAAUUUAAAUGGAGUAGGUUCAGAAUUGGAGAGUUUAUUCUUUAAAAAAAUUUUUUUCUUAAUCUCUUUUGUACCCAAGGUGUGUCAUCAAAGAUAUCAAGAUUUAUUUAAUUUGAGGAUUAUUUGUAAUGACACAAAAGGGGUUCAGUCUGAUGAAAGUACUGAGUAUGACAAAUGGUUUUUAGUCAAUCUGAAAUAAAACAAAGAGGUAAAACUUCAGGCCAAUAACAGGUUCAUUGUGUCUCUCCGAAAAGCUGGGUUGUUAGAUUUUCUUCAUAAUCUAAAACCAUUGAAUGUGAGUUUUCUCCAAGUUUUAUACCCUAACAUUAUAUUAUUUAAGAUCAUACCUCAAUAUUCAACCAUCAAUCCUACAUCUCAAUAGGCAGAAGAUUCAUUUAGAAUGGGUGGAAAGAAGGUACCUUUAGGAUGAAUGGGUGGGAGGUAUAUUUUUCUAGCAAUGAUUGAGUGCUGCCUUUCAUUGGGUUUUGCUUGGUUCGAGUGAUGCUCAAGCUGAUAUACUACGUCACUCCUUCAUGAUCAUGAGAAGUCCAAAGACAUUUUCCCUCCUCAGGAUGUGUCCUAUAUGGCCAUAUUGAAGGCGCCCACCAGUCAUCAUCCUGACAUGCUUUAUGUGAUUGAUAGAGUUACAGUGAAAAGAGGAAGUAACUAGACUUACUGCAUAGUUAGAAUUUUUUCUUUAUAAAAUAUGACUAGAUUUUAAUUAAUCUUACUAUAAUUCCGUUAAUCAGCAAUUAACCAUUGUCCCAGAUUAAUCAUCUGUAGUGGCUAAAUCCAUUGUGAUCCAUUGUGAUAAUUGGGAUCUUUUUUGAAAAGAGUCAGGGAGUUAGGGAUUCUCAUCCUCUUCAUAAAUAAAAUAUGGGACCCACUUAAUUUCACUAAAAAGGAAAAAAAAUAAAUGGAUUUCAUUUCAGUACAGAAAUGUUUACAAAGCACAUAUAAAUGAAUUUAGAUUCCUAGUACAAUUAUGGGUGAACCUAUCUUCAAGGAGAAGGCAUUCAGUGUUAAGGAUAUAAACAAUUAACUCCUUUUGUGAACUUUACUUCCUGGGAACCUAUCUAGUUCCUCAAAUUUUAUAUUACCCAAGACUGCUACAGUCAAUCCCCACUCUUGCUUCUACCUCCCCACUCCACACAAAAGCAAGUGAUCUCUUAGGAUUGCUAGAAAAUAAAUUGUCUUUCUCUGACCUAUGCAAAGUAGGGAAAGGAAUAUGUUUUAUUCUGUUUCAACAUCAUAGCUCUGUUGAUUAUUUCUCCUCAAUUUUAUCACCAUUUUAUUUGGGAGUACUUCUGUUGGGCCAAAGAUUUCUCCUCUUGCUCCACCAUUGGAAUUCUAAUCUUACCAUCAGUUUCUUUUUUUUUUUUUAAUUUUAUAAUAUUUUAUUUGAUCAUUUCCGAGCAUUAUUCAUUAAAGACAAAGAUCAUUUUCUUUUCCUCCCCCCCCCACAUAGCCAACGCGUGAUUCCACUGGGUAUCACAUGUAUUCUUGAUUCGAACCCAUUGCCAUGUUGUUAAUAUUUGCAUUAGAGUUUCGUUUAGAGUCUCUCCUCUGUCAUGUCCCCUCAACCGCUGUAGUCAUGCAGUUGCUUUUCCUUGGUGUUUCUAGACCCACAGUUUAUCCUCUGCUUAUGAAUAGUGUUUUUUCUCCUAGAUCCCUGCAGAUUGUUCAGGGACAUUACACCGCCCCUAAUGGAGAAGUCCAUCAUAGAUUUCCUGAGUGGGGAGGAUUAGCUUUCCUUAUCUCUGUCUGGGGUUCAGAGGUUUUAGCCCCAGGCAGAUUGUCCUUUCUAUGAAGUUGUUGUUCUGUCUUCCUGGGGAAGCCAGGAAUUGCUGGUGUGUCCCUGUUACUGUUCUCCUUGGUUCCCUCCCAAUGUUUCUCCGUUGCCUUACUUCCACGCUCUAAGCCUGGCUUGGCUCUUGUUUCUGUGCCUUAGCCAGCCAGAUGAGCCUGCUCUCUGAGGGAAAGGGGCCCUGGUUUCCCGGAGCUUCGAGGGCUCCUGAUUAAGAUUAGUUUUCCCUGGGUUGAAUUGAGUGUGCCCUGAGGCAGGGACCUGAGACUCCAAUGGAGGGAUCCAGCCAGGGGGUUACAAGCUCCCCCCUCUCUCUCUCUGUUUCCCUGCUUUCUGGGUGCCCCCUCGACUGGGUCAGGUUGUUUUCAGGAAGCGGCCUUCAGAAUAGCCGGCCCUGGGGUCCUUUUGCUGGCUCUUAAGUUCCCACUGCUGCCUCG